AGAGUUUGAUCAUGGCUCAGGAUGAAUGCUAGCGGCGUGGAUAAGGCAUGCAAGUCGUGCGGGUUUAGACCCGCGGCAGACGAGGUAGUAAUACACAGGUACUCACCGAAGAGUCGGGCACAUUCCAUCGAAAGAUGGCGCAAUUCCCGAUGGUCCUUCCGAGGUAAAGAAGCAAUUCGCUCUUUGAGAGGCCUGUGCGGUAUCAGGUAGUUGGUAGGGUAACGGCCUACCAAGCCUACGACACCUAGGGGAGCUGAGAGGCUGACCCCCACCGAUGGGACUGAGACACGGCCCAUACACCUACGGGUGGCUGCAGUCGAGAAUAUUUGGCAAUGGGCGAAAGCCUGACCAUGCGACGCCGCGUGCUGGACGAAGUCCUUCGGGACGUAAACAGCCUUUACGCGUGAAGAAGUAAUUGACAUUAGCGCGUGAAUAAGGGGCUCCUAACUCUGUGCCAGCAGGAGCGGUAAUACAGAGGCCCCAAGCAUUAUCCGGAAUCACUGGGCGUAAAGGGUGUGUAGGCGGUCGUGUUAGUCCUUCGUAAAAGCUCUCGGACUCAAUCCGGGAAAUGCGGUGGAAACGGCACGACUUCGAGGACGCGAGAGGUAGAGGGAACUCAUGGUGUAGGGGUGAAAUCCGUUGAUAUCAUGGGGAACACCAAAUGCGAAGGCACUCUACUGGCGCGCUCCUGACGCUGAAACACGAAAGCGUGGGAAUCGAACGGGAUUAGAUACCCCAGUAGUCC
Molecule: ribosomal RNA, 745 nt
Filed under: uncultured bacterium
Lineage: Bacteria
Description: bacterial SSU rRNA
Rfam family: Bacterial small subunit ribosomal RNA
Source: RNAcentral